CUAUGGUAGACUACAACCAUGGCGGAAGGAG
This 31-nucleotide non-coding RNA is filed under the name unclassified sequences. The record is from RNAcentral.